This 459-nucleotide ribosomal RNA is filed under the name uncultured bacterium. Its description in RNAcentral is "partial 16S ribosomal RNA". It matches the Rfam family "Bacterial small subunit ribosomal RNA", at positions 338 to 795 of the family's 1533-position model. The record is from RNAcentral.
CCUACGGGUGGCAGCAGUGAGGAAUAUUGGUCAAUGGGCGCGAGCCUGAACCAGCCAAGCCGCGUGAGGGAAGACGGCCCUAUGGAUUGUAAACCUCUUUUGUCGGGGAGCAAAAGACGCCACGCGUGCCGUUCCGAGAGUACCCGAAGAAAAAGCAUCGGCUAACUCCGUGCCAGCAGCCGCGGUAAUACGGAGGAUGCGAGCGUUAUCCGGAUUUAUUGGGUUUAAAGGGUGCGCAGGCGGAAGAUCAAGUCAGCGGUAAAAUUGAGGGGCUCAACCUCUUCGAGCCGUUGAAACUGGUUGUCUUGAGUGAGUGAGAAGUACGCGGAAUGCGUGGUGUAGCGGUGAAAUGCAUAGAUAUCACGCAGAACUCCGAUUGCGAAGGCAGCAUACCGGCGCUCAACUGACGCUGAGGCACGAAAGCGUGGGGAUCGAACAGGAUUAGAUACCCCAGUAGUC